Molecule: unclassified non-coding RNA, 307 nt
Organism: Callithrix jacchus (white-tufted-ear marmoset)
Lineage: Eukaryota; Metazoa; Chordata; Mammalia; Primates; Cebidae
Rfam family: Metazoan signal recognition particle RNA
About the family: The signal recognition particle (SRP) is a universally conserved ribonucleoprotein. It is involved in the co-translational targeting of proteins to membranes.
Source: Ensembl
GCUGGGCGCAGUGGCACAUGCCUGUAGUCCCAGCUACUUGGGAGGCUGAGGUCGGAGGAUCGCUUCAGUUGAGGAGUUCUGGGCUGUAGUGCUAGUGCUCUAUGCUGAUUGGGUGUCCACACUAAGUUUGACAUCAAUAUGGUGACCUCCCGGGAGCAGGGGACCACCAGGUUGCCUAAGGAGGGGUGAACCAGCCCAUGUCGGAAACAGAGCAGGUCAGAAACUCCCGUGCUGAUCAGUAGUGGGAUUGUGCCUUUGAAUAGCCACUGCACUCCAGUCUGGGCAACAUAGCAAGACCCCAUAUCUU